UACGUAGGGGGCUAGCGUUGUCCGGAAUCAUUGGGCGUAAAGCGCGUGUAGGCGGCUUGGUAAGUCCGGUGUGAAACCUUGGGGCUCAACCCCAAGCCUGCACUGGAUACUGCCUCGCUUGAGUCCGGGAGGGGAGAGCGGAAUUCCUAGUGUAGCGGUGAAAUGCGCAGAUAUUAGGAAGAACACCGGUGGCGAAGGCGGCUCUCUGGAACGGUACUGACGCUGAGACGCGGAAGCGUGGGGAGCGAACAGG
This 253-nucleotide ribosomal RNA is filed under the name uncultured bacterium. Its description in RNAcentral is "partial 16S ribosomal RNA". It matches the Rfam family "Bacterial small subunit ribosomal RNA", at positions 524 to 776 of the family's 1533-position model. The record is from RNAcentral.